This is an RNA transcript of Camarhynchus parvulus, 5103 nucleotides long. It is a transcript of the gene named anaphase promoting complex subunit 7, with no coding region annotated. Lineage: Eukaryota; Metazoa; Chordata; Aves; Passeriformes; Thraupidae. The record is from RefSeq and is a predicted model, not a curated record. The transcript is spliced from 12 exons.
UGGCGCCAUUUUGGAGUGGCGGCGGCGGCAGCUCCGUGCCCGGUGCCUCGCUCGGGGUCUCUCCCGGUUCUUCCCCGGCCCCGUCCCCGUCCCGUCCCUUCCGCCCCGCCGGCGGCAGCAUGAGUGUGGUGGAGCACGUGCGCGAGAUGGCGGCCGCCGGGCUGCACUCGAACGUGCGGCUGCUCAGCGGGCUGCUCCUCACCAUGAGCGGCAACAACCCGGAGCUGUUCUCUCCCUCUCAGAAGUACCAGCUCCUUGUCUACCAUGCAGACUCCCUGUUCCAUGACAAGGAGUACAGGAAUGCUGUCAGCAAGUACACCAUGGCCUUACAGCAGAAAAAAGCCUUAAGUAAAACCUCCAAAGUCAGGCCUUCUACUGGGAAUGCUGCAUCAACACCCCAAAGCCAGUGUUUACCAUCAGAAAUUGAAGUGAAAUACAAAAUGGCUGAAUGUUACACAAUGCUGAAGCAAGAUAAAGAUGCCAUUGCUAUUCUUGAUGGGAUUCCUUCCAGGCAGAGAACUCCAAAGAUCAACAUGAUGCUGGCAAACCUGUACAAGAAGGCCGGCCAGGAGCGCUCCUCGGUGACGAGCUACAAGGAGGUGCUGAGGCAGUGUCCCUUGGCCCUGGAUGCCAUCCUAGGUUUGCUCUCACUGUCAGUGAAGGGAGCAGAAGUGGCCUCCAUGACCAUCAACAUCAUCCAGAGCAUUCCCAACCUAGACUGGCUCUCAGUGUGGAUCAAGGCAUACGCCUUUGUGCAUACUGGAGACAACACCAGGGCAAUAAACACCAUUUGCUCUUUAGAGAAGAAGUCAUUGCUGAGGGACAAUGUGGACUUGCUGGGGAGCUUAGCAGACCUGUACUUCAGAGCUGGAGAUAAUAAAAACUCUAUCCUAAAAUUUGAACAAGCACAAAUGCUGGAUCCUUACCUAAUAAAAGGAAUGGAUGUUUAUGGUUAUUUAUUGGCACGUGAGGGUCGGCUGGAGGAUGUGGAGAACUUGGGCUGCCGGCUCUUUAACAUUUCUGACCAACAUGCAGAGCCCUGGGUGGUGUCUGGGUGUCACAGUUUCUACAGCAAACGCUACUCCCGUGCCUUGUACCUGGGAGCCAAAGCAAUCCAGCUGAACAGCAACAGUGUGCAGGCUCUGCUGCUGAAGGGAGCUGCCCUGAGAAACAUGGGCCGCGUGCAGGAGGCCAUCAUCCACUUCAGGGAGGCCAUCAGGCUGGCCCCCUGCCGCCUGGACUGCUACGAGGGUCUCAUCGAGUGUUACCUGGCGUCCAACAGCAUCCGUGAAGCCAUGGUGAUGGCAAACAACGUGUACAAAACCCUGGGGGCAAACGCACAGACCCUCACCCUGCUGGCCACAGUCUGCCUGGAGGACCCAGUCACGCAGGAAAAGGCAAAAACGUUGCUGGACAAAGCUCUCACACAAAGACCUGACUACAUUAAAGCUGUGGUAAAGAAAGCAGAACUUCUCAGCAGAGAGCAGAAGUAUGAAGAUGGGAUUGCCUUGCUGAGGAAUGCCCUGGCCAACCAGAGUGACUGUGUCCUGCACCGCAUCCUGGGCGACUUCCUGGUGGCUGUCAACGAGUACCAGGAGGCCAUGGACCAGUACAGCAUAGCCCUGAGUUUGGAUCCAAAUGAUCAGAAGUCACUGGAAGGACUGCAGAAAAUGGAAAAAGAGGAAAGUCCAACAGAUGCCACCCAGGAAGAAGAUGUGGAUGACAUGGAGGGAAGUGGAGAAGAGGGGGACUUGGAAGGCAGUGACAGUGAAGCAGCCCAGUGGGCAGAUCAAGAACAGUGGUUUGGGAUGCAGUAAAAGCCUCCUGCUGCUUUUUUUGGCACUUGAACACACCACUAGGGCCACUCUUUUGAGAAGAACAGAAACUAUGGUUUUUUUUCAGUAACAAAGAACUUUUUUUUUGUUUUAAUAGACUCUGAAACCAAUUAAUAGUUCUGUGCAUCUCAGUACUGUGGAGAUUCUUGAUGCUUCUUAUUUAUUAAGUGUAAGGGACUAACUGCAUCCAAGGUUAUUUACAACUUCCAUUUUGAAAAAUUCCUGCUCAAACUAAAACCAUCAGAAUCUGAGGUGUGUAAUGAGCCUUUUGUUUGUGAUGAAAGCAAUGUCUGAGUUCUGUCCAGGGCUGAGUGCUUGGGCAAAUUGUAAAUCCAGUGGUUUGUACACCUUUGUGGAAAGGCCUUGCUCAUUUGUGUGCAGCCAUUUGAGUCUGGGGGAGCUACUUGAGUGUGGCUGAAAGCAGCACUUUCCUUUUGCUGUGUUUGUUGAAUUAAUUUGUCUUUUUCUAGGGCAUUACCUGUGCUGUCCAGGAUAAAUUUGGGACAAUAGGCAACUUGGACUUGCUGGACACUUUUCGUAGCUGAUUUCUCUGUGUACAGAAUUGAGCCAGUGGUGGAGAAUUAAAGUCAUUUCCUCAACCCUUACUAACCCUGCAGUCACUUUAAGUCUGUGCAUGAGCAUUUAUUUUAAAAUGCAGUUUAGUUUUAUUUCAGUAUGUUCCUGGAAGGUUUUGCAACAGUGACUCAAAGCACUUUACAUUCUGUGUACAGCACUGACAUUUAAAAUGCUAUAAAAAGAAUUAAUCCCUCUUCCCUUGCACUGCUGGAGAAAUGUUAAAUUAUGCAAAUACACAUAUUGUCCUGGUUUUUCCAUGUUUAUAUACUUCCUGGCUUUGUCAGGUAAUUUUUGAAUUUAUGUCUUUUUCCCUCAUCUUUUGAAACAAAUUUGCUUCAUGUACAAAUUUCCAACCUGAGCAUUUCAAGGGUGAACUGCCUUGGGUAAUCUAGAAACUGUUUCAGUUCUGUGGGCUUGGUGUGUGGGAAGAGGAAUUACUUAUUUUUCUUACAGUUCUGAUUGACUUAGUCUUCACCAAAAUGUGGUUUUAUAAUCUUUAUAUCAAGAGUUUAAUUCCUUUUGUAUUUAUUUUGUUACCACAGGUAUGCUGGAGCACACAGACUUUUUAGACAGCUAAAAAAAUAGUUUUGAGUAUCAGUUGGAGGAAAAAUGGCUGUUUGUUACAAACACAUGACAUGGAAAAGAAGCUUCUCCCUGAAAGGCAGAUAAGGAACAGGCAGGAAACUAAAACGACUUCAAGAUGAGUCCUUGGGUGCAGCUUGAGCAAACAAGUCCAGGCACAGCUCAGAACACCUAGAGAUGGCUGUCAAAAGGGAUUUGUAUCCUCACAGCUUUGGUUUUCUGAGAACUUGGCUCCUUACUGGAAAUGGGAAGUUGGGAGAGUGUGCAGGUGAAGCCUGGUGAGUACCUGAUGUGUUGGGGCUGUGUAGCUGUGUGUGAUCUUUGCUAAGAGUUCACUGUGGCUGCGGAGCUCUGAGGUGCCACAUAUAUUGAGAUUGUAAAGAAAGAUCCAUUUGGCCCUCACUUCAGAACUCUAGAGGGAUUCUGCUUGCCUAUUAAUGAGCCUUCAUUACUGCUUUAAUUUUAGAAUGUGAUCUCUGGUUCUGCAGAGGUCUGGUACUCUCCAAUGCAGUUACAGGCAUUUAGUUCAGAGAAUAUAACAAUUAGCCCUUAAUAAGCAGCUGACCUCAUUCCCUGCCUCAAUCACAUGCUCUGCACCCGAGAAGAAAAGAUCACAAAGCCAAGAACUGAAGUUCAGGCUCUGUUAGAUCAGUGAUGGAAGUGAAACAGUGUGGACAUGAGGCAAGAAAUCUGUUGCCAUCCAGCUGUACUGUGAAGUGUUGGUGUGUCUGAGGUGCUGGGUAAGGGCAGAGUGCCCCUGUUUGCCUGAAAUCCUGGAAUUUAAACCACAUAUUUCAUUACUAACUUCUAACUCUUUCCUACUUGGACAGGAAGUGAUGGGAAAGGGACAGAGUUUCUUCAAACUGUACAUUGACUUGGCUAAGGGCUUAAAGGCUGAAUUGACCAGAGUCUGAAAGCAGCACACAUUCAUGGUGUGCUUAGAAAUUGCCUAAAUAAUGCAUUUACUCCUAUCAUGUGCUGAUAACACCUGCAAUACUGGCAGUGUUUCUAGUUCUGAAGAUUUCUUGAUCAUGGGAAUUCAGGAAUUGUGAAGCAGAAAUAAAGCAGGGACUGAGGACUGCUGGCCAGUAUCAGUGUUCUCUAUUGAAUUGAGGUGCUUCUGCUGCUGCUGCUGAUUACAGAGAGAUUUUUGAUUAACUAGGACUUUUCUUCCCCCUUUCAGUAGCUGUCUUCCUCAUUAAGCCUCUUUGUGUGGUGAUUCUUCUCUUCUUGCUUUUCAGGAGCUCAGUGAUGUGGAAACUGAUCCAUGCAGGGCAGAAGCAGGCAGGAUUUCUGAUUCAGCAAACCUUAUUCCCUCACUUAGAUCUCAAUGGUAAGGAAAUCUGCAAGGCUGUGUCUGCCAUUGUUAUUUCAAGUUACACAAACAUACCACAACCAAAUAUAUUUUAAAAACCCAAAUCUGUCUUAAAUUUAGUGACCUUAGGAGGGCUUAAACUCAGUAUAAACCUAUGGUUUCAAACUAGAUAGUCUUAGUUGGUUAACAUGUCCUUUGGAAGCUGGCCAAGAGGAGGCAAGGAUGUAUAUAAGACUAGGUGUUUGGGGAGGAAAUUGAUAAUAAAAUACAGUUCUUUUGCUGCAAAGAGGGAAAAAAUAAAAUGUUCACCUGGGGAAUUUCAGUGUAACAAUUUGGGUAUUAAGGAAAGCCCUUUGGUGGAACAACACAAUAGAAUAAUCUCGGUUUUCACUCACAGAGUUGAGCCUGGCCUUUGCUUUGCAAAGUCUGGGGUAUGGGAGUGGGUCCCCAGUGGAUGUUUACUCUGUACAAGCCUCUCCCUUUCCAAGAGUUUUCAGAGGGGCCAAGGACUUUUGUGAGUUUGGAGAUCAGAUUCCUUUUCCUGUCCUAUCAUCCUAUCAAAACAGCAAUGUGGCAAAUGGGGUGAUGGUUUGGGGUGUGAGGUAAAAUCCUGGAGCCUGAUAAAUUGAUGCCCAAAGUCUUCUCUGCACCUCCAUGUGGGUAAACUGUUGGGUUGAAAUCUUCUAGAAAACCUCCUCAGGUGCUCAGAGCUUCUCUCAUUUCUCACCCACUCUCCUGGGGGUGGAUGUGGGCUCUAAUCAUACUCAAAUUCACCUCGAGGUAAAAAUAGUGAUA